GGUGCGACACCGCCGAGUCGCCUACGGGCGAGCCGGGGACCCAGGUACGCCGGGGUGAAUCCGCAGCGGCGCUGCGGUAGGGCGCUCUCCCUUCCCGCCCGAACCCGUCAGCUAACCCGGUAGGCGGUAGAGGAAGAAGGA
Molecule: regulatory RNA element, 141 nt
Organism: Micromonospora carbonacea
Lineage: Bacteria; Bacillati; Actinomycetota; Actinomycetes; Micromonosporales; Micromonosporaceae
Rfam family: c-di-AMP riboswitch aptamer (ydaO/yuaA leader)
About the family: This family represents a conserved RNA structure found upstream of the ydaO and yuaA genes in Bacillus subtilis and related genes in other bacteria. The ydaO/yuaA element is thought to act as a genetic "off" switch for the ydaO and yuaA genes in its native state. It is believed that the element may be triggered during osmotic shock leading to activation of ydaO, a predicted amino acid transporter gene, and members of the yuaA-yubG operon which code for KtrA and KtrB K+ transporters.
Source: Rfam